GCGGCAUGCUUUACACAUGCAAGUCGAACGGCAGCACGGGGGCAACCCUGGUGGCGGGUGGCGAACGGGUGAGUAAUAUAUCGGAACGUACCCGGAAAUGGGGGAUAACGUAGCGAAAGUUACGCUAAUACCGCAUAUGCCCUAAGGGGGAAAGCGGGGGAUUCGCAAGAACCUCGCGUUUUCGGAGCGGCCGAUAUCGGAUUAGCUAGUAGGUGAGGUAAAGGCUCACCUAGGCGACGAUCCGUAGCUGGUCUGAGAGGACGACCAGCCACACUGGAACUGAGACACGGUCCAGACUCCUACGGGAGGCAGCAGUGGGGAAUUUUGGACAAUGGGCGCAAGCCUGAUCCAGCCAUGCCGCGUGAGUGAAGAAGGCCUUCGGGUUGUAAAGCUCUUUCAGCCGGAAAGAAAACGCACGGGUUAAUAACCUGUGUGGAUGACGGUACCGGAAGAAGAAGCACCGGCUAACUACGUGCCAGCAGCCGCGGUAAUACGUAGGGUGCGAGCGUUAAUCGGAAUUACUGGGCGUAAAGCGUGCGCAGGCGGUUUUGUAAGACAGAUGUGAAAUCCCCGGGCUUAACCUGGGAACUGCAUUUGUAACUGCAAGGCUAGGGUACGGCAGAGGGGGGUAGAAUUCCACGUGUAGCAAUGAAAUGCGUAGAUAUGUGGAGGAAUACCGAUGGCGAAGGCAGCCCCCUGGGUCGAUCUUGACGCUCAUGCACGAAAGCGUGGGGAGCAAACAGGAUUAAAUACCCUGGUAAGUCCACGCCCUAACGAUGUCAAC
This 784-nucleotide ribosomal RNA is filed under the name uncultured bacterium. RNAcentral's name for it is "bacterial SSU rRNA". It matches the Rfam family "Bacterial small subunit ribosomal RNA", at positions 39 to 816 of the family's 1533-position model. The record is from RNAcentral.